This is a long non-coding RNA of Gossypium raimondii (Peruvian cotton), 494 nucleotides long. RefSeq lists it as uncharacterized. Lineage: Eukaryota; Viridiplantae; Streptophyta; Magnoliopsida; Malvales; Malvaceae. The transcript is spliced from 2 exons. The record is from RefSeq and is a predicted model, not a curated record.
UUCCUUUUGAAGCAGAAACUGCUUCUUUUGGGGUUUUCUUAACCCUUUGGCCGCCGUUCAGCCCACGUCCCAAUUUCGUCGGAGGGGACACCAGCUCGACGACUCCGGCGAAAGGAAAUCGAGGAGAGUUUGGCGCGCGUGGAGAGGGGUCGGCCCCGAGUCGUGCGGCGCUUGGAGAGGCCGCUGGAGGCGAGGGCUGUUGCGACGCUGAGGGCUUGUUGCGGCGCUCCCUAUUGCUUAGGGCUAGGAUUCCUUUCUCUUUUGUUUUUUUUUUUUUGUGUGUUUUGGGCUGAUGUCUGUGUUGGGCUUAGGUUGGUUUUGUUAUUGGGCCACUUAUUUGUUGGGCCUUAGACGAGUUUAGGCCUGCUAUUAAAAAACUGAAAUUGCCUGCUUUGUUUUUUUGUUUGGGCCCGGGCAAUUUGGGCUUGUACAUUUAGCAUGAAAAAAUUCAUGGUAUGUACAUUAUAUGUUGAUUAGGAAUUUUUUUUAUGAAA